RNAcentral lists this ribosomal RNA (551 nucleotides) under Aureobasidium pullulans. RNAcentral describes it as "partial large subunit ribosomal RNA". It matches the Rfam family "Eukaryotic large subunit ribosomal RNA", at positions 86 to 652 of the family's 3401-position model. Lineage: Eukaryota; Fungi; Ascomycota; Dothideomycetes; Dothideales; Saccotheciaceae. The record is from RNAcentral.
ACGGCGAGUGAAGCGGCAACAGCUCAAAUUUGAAAGCUGGCCUUCGGGUCCGCAUUGUAAUUUGUAGAGGAUGCUUUGGGUGAAACGCCAGUCUAAGUUCCUUGGAACAGGACGUCAUAGAGGGUGAGAAUCCCGUAUGUGACUGGAAAUGUUAACCUAUGUAAAGCUCCUUCGACGAGUCGAGUUGUUUGGGAAUGCAGCUCUAAAUGGGAGGUAAAUUUCUUCUAAAGCUAAAUAUUGGCGAGAGACCGAUAGCGCACAAGUAGAGUGAUCGAAAGAUGAAAAGCACUUUGGAAAGAGAGUUAAAAAGCACGUGAAAUUGUUGAAAGGGAAGCGCUUGCAAUCAGACUUGUUUAAACUGUUCGGCCGGUCUUCUGACCGGUUUACUCAGUUUGGACAGGCCAGCAUCAGUUUCGGCGGCCGGAUAAAGGCUCUGGGAAUGUGGCCUUCACUUCGGUGAAGGUGUUAUAGCCCAGGGUGUAAUACGGCCAGCCGGGACUGAGGUCCGCGCUUCGGCUAGGAUGCUGGCGUAAUGGUUGUAAGCGACCCGU